This 26-nucleotide non-coding RNA is filed under the name Mus musculus (house mouse). Lineage: Eukaryota; Metazoa; Chordata; Mammalia; Rodentia; Muridae. The record is from RNAcentral.
UGAAUGGAAAUCCAGAAUGAUGAGGC